RNAcentral lists this ribosomal RNA (776 nucleotides) under uncultured Neocallimastigales. RNAcentral's name for it is "partial large subunit ribosomal RNA". It matches the Rfam family "Eukaryotic large subunit ribosomal RNA", at positions 26 to 643 of the family's 3401-position model. Lineage: Eukaryota; Fungi; Neocallimastigomycota; Neocallimastigomycetes; Neocallimastigales. The record is from RNAcentral.
CGCAUCUGUGCAUGCAGCAUAUCAAUAAGCGGAGGAAAAGAAACUAACAAGGAUUCCCCUUAGUAACGGCGAGUGAAGCGGGAAGAGCUCAAAUUUGAAAUCUUAAAGGUUUCACCUUGACGAAUUGUAGUUUAAAGAAGUGUUUUCUGUUGAAGUUUUGGUAAAAGUUCUUUGGAAUAGGACAUCAUAGAGGGUGAGAAUCCCGUAUUUGACCAUUAUUUUCAGCUUUUGUGAUACACUUUCAAGGAGUCGGAUUGUUUGGGAAUGCAGUCCAAAAUGGGUGGUAAAUUUCAUCUAAAGCUAAAUAUUGGCGAGAGACCGAUAGCGAACAAGUACCGUGAGGGAAAGAUGAAAAGAACUUUGAAAAGAGAGUUAAACAGUACGUGAAAUUGUCAAAAGGGAAGCGUUUGACACCAGUGUUGUUUUUCUGAAAAUCAAUUAAAGAACUGUUUAUGCUAAGCUGUUUAGACUUUAUCAGCUAUCUGUUUAGUUUUGAGCUUUUCUUUAAUGCACUUUUCAGUUAACAAGUCAACAUCAAUUUCUUUUGCUGUAAAAAAGCUUGAGGAAGGUGGCUUGAGAUUCGUCUUAAGUGUUUAUAGCCUCUUGCCUAUGCAGUCGGAGAGAUUGAGGUCUGCAGCGUAGAUCCUUCGGGGCUAAAUGCAUUUGUGCUAAGUUAUAACAUUUUAUAGACAACUUGUUGACUAUGAUUUGUCUUGUAGCUUACUCGCUUAUGUUAUUUUACCUACGCUUAGGAUGUUGAUAGUCACAGCGUGUAC